RNAcentral lists this ribosomal RNA (370 nucleotides) under uncultured bacterium. RNAcentral describes it as "bacterial SSU rRNA". It matches the Rfam family "Bacterial small subunit ribosomal RNA", at positions 42 to 440 of the family's 1533-position model. The record is from RNAcentral.
UCAGGCCUAACACAUGCAAGUCGAGCGAGACCUUCGGGUCUAGCGGCGGACGGGUGAGUAACGCGUGGGAAUAUGCCCUUCGGUUCGGAAUAGCCCCGGGAAACUGGGAGUAAUACCGGAUACGGUCUACGGACGAAAGAUUUAUCGCCGAAGGAUUAGCCCGCGUUGGAUUAGGUAGUUGGUGGGGUAAUGGCCUACCAAGCCGACGAUCCAUAACUGGUUUGAGAGGAUGAUCAGCCACACUGGGACUGAGACACGGCCCAGACUCCUACGGGAGGCAGCAGUGGGGAAUCUUAGAAGGGGGGGGAAACCCUGAUCUAGCCAUGCCGCGUGAUUUUAGAGGGCCUUAGGGUUGUAAAGCUCUUCAGCU